This 7588-nucleotide long non-coding RNA is filed under the name Malus domestica (apple). RNAcentral describes it as "long non-coding RNA (MDOM_LNC000650)". The record is from RNAcentral. Lineage: Eukaryota; Viridiplantae; Streptophyta; Magnoliopsida; Rosales; Rosaceae.
AAUCUUUCAUCAAUGAAUAUUGUAUUUCAUCUCAAAAAAAAAAAAAAAAAAAAAACUUUCAUUAAUGAUAAGAUUAAUUAUCAGAACUAAAAAUCAUUCCCUGCAAGUACAAGUUCUUUGAGAAAUCGUACUCUCCUCCUCACUUUCUUAUAUUCGUCUUGCCUACCCUCAUCAUUCUUCUUAUUCCUUCGCUCCACCUUCCUUUUUCAGUUUUCUAUUUUCAUUUUUAUUCAUCAUGUCUUCCCUUUGCCUUUCAAUGGAAGAAUUAUAUACAACUUCCUCGUUCUUUUGUUUCCUUUUUUGGUUUUUUACCUCACGCAUAAAUUUUUUUUGGUGUGUUUUCUUAGUUUUAUUUUCUCAUGGAUCACAUUUGCAGUAGUGGAUCUAAGAAUAUAAUAUCGAGUGGUCUCAGUAUAAAAGCUUAAAAAAAAAAUAUUAUACAAACAACAUUAUAAGUUACAAAGACUAAAUUUGUCCAAAAUAAUCCAAGAAUUUAAUAUUGUUUUAGCCAAGUCGUUUAAAAAAAACUAAUCAGUCUUCUUCUCCUUCUCCUUCUAGUUUGUAGAAUUCCAAUAUGGAGCUUAAAAUAAUCUCAAAGUUUGUAAAGGCGAUAUGUAAACUUUUGUUCAAGAAAGAUAAAAUUGCUCUCGUUAAAUGGGCGGGCUUCUUAAAUUCUCUCAUGCACACCUCAAAACCCGCCCAUGAAGGUCCAAGUAAUUGAAUACGACUGCCUUAAGCUCAACACCCCUGAACGCUUCUCCUAAUUAAGCAAUUAUUCAUCUACCAAUAAUACGAUUUAAUUUACCUCUACCAUAUCUUCGAGUUUCUAUAGUUUCAUAUCUCAGUUGUAGAUUAAAUGUUUUUAUCUACCUUUAUCGCAUUUUUUUUCAGUUUACCUCUAUCACAUAUUCUUUUUAUGUUCUCCCUUUAUAACAAAUUAAUUUUAUUUUCUACAUAUAUAGUAGGCAAAUAUUAUAAAUGUUGUAUCGUAAUCCUAAGAAGGAGGUAUCAUAUUAUCAUAUAUGCUUACAUAGUUUUUCAACCUCUAUCAUAUUUUUUUUUUCAACCUCUAUCAUAUGUGUUUUUACUUUGUUUUUUUAAAAAGUGCUUUCUUAGAUAAUAAUAAGUUUAAAGGUUUAAAAUUCAAAAUUAUGUAACCGAUGCAUCAGUUAAGGGUUCAAAUACUUAUAUUUUUUCACGUCAAAGGACGAAAUAAGAAUAAAAAAUUGUAACUGACAAAAAAGGCUUAAGUCAAAAUAGUUCUUGAGAUUUGCAUAACUCCUCAUUUUGGUCCCUGAGAUUUGAAAUCAACAGAAUUGGUCUCUGAGAUUGUCUACCAUCAAUCAUUUAGGUCAUUCUGUGAAAAAUCUCCAUUAAACAAGAAUAAAAUGACAAAAAUACUCUCAAUUUUUGUCAAAUCAUUUUGGCCUAUUUUUAAUAAAUUAAGGGUAUUUUUGUUAUUUUGAUCCUUAUUUAACAUAAUGUUUCACGGACUGAUCAAAAUGAUUGAUGAUUAAUAAUCUCAGGGACCACUUCUAUUGAUUUUAAAUCUCAGGAACCAAAGUGAUGAGUUAUGCAAAUCUCAGGAACCAUUUUGGCUAAAAAAGCUACAAAAAAACAUACAGUAAUGCUCACCUAAGGUCCUCAUCUUGAGGACCUAUGAGAUCCUCUGUUGUAUAUACCCUUAGAUUAAUCUGACGGUGAAUUAUUUAAUAAACUUAUAUUGUCCUUGUUACACUCAGACAAACCUUUGGAGAGGUGAAUCCUUGUUACAUCCGCAUCUUCCUCCAAUCAACAAUCACGUAUGCCCUCAAAUGCCCAUUUGGGUUUGUUCCUUCCAAUUACUCCCCUGCUGCCUAGCCAAUUCCAAUCAAGCUCCUCAGUUGUUCGCUUGACUGAAUGGUCUACAAAAGCAUUAGGUCCUUGUGGACCAGGCACAUGGGCUGCUCCACAAGGUUAAGCUGUUCAAAUCGGCAGAGGUGGUCAAUGUCUUCUUUUAGGGCAUGGUGGCGGCGAUUGCAAAGAGAGUUGAAAACUCAAUGAAGGGAGGCUCAUGGGUCUUUGACUUGACGUUCCAAUUUGUUAUGAACUAAUCGUGAUUGUCUUAGUCACAGUGAGAUUUUAGUAAGGGUAGUAAGGACUAAAGUGUAAGGUAGUUAAAGGCAUAAUUGUAAGGGGUUAAAAGUAUGGGGUUCGAUUGUAAUGGGCCAAUACUUAGUAGAAGGUUUCAGCAAUUGUCAGUUAUUGUCCAGGUGGCACUUUUGUAUUGGGGAAUUGCAGGCAUGUGGGAUAUACAUGCUCCCGAAAUUAUUGUAAUGGCAACUUUUGGAAAAAUCAGUUUAUAUUUCUCUUUUGGUUUUCUCUCUAUUCUAUCACUCUCUCUCACUUUCAUAGCUACCGGUUCUGGUUGAUUCUCUGGUGCCGGUUGGGUUCCUAACAUUGGUAUCACCCUCCGUUCCUGGUUUUUUCCCAUCCGUGUAUGCCCCGUCCCAAACCCACCACUCGUUCCGCCAUGGAUGCCCGCUUUGCUGCUUUUGAAUCUGAAUUUCCGUCGAUCAUCCGUGAGGCGGUGAACUCCGCUUUUGAUGCCAAGCUUCCUGCCCAACUCGAUGCGCGCCUUCCGACGUAUUUCGAUGCGCGCCUUCCGGCGUAUUUUGAGCAGUUCCGCCGCGAGCUCACCCAUGAACUCACCUUUCGUCGUGAGGGUGAAGGUCCAUCCAACCCACCUCCUCCAGAUCCACUUGUUUCUCAUGAGAUGGCUCAGAUCCCACCCCCGCCUCAUCCUGGCCCUCCGAAUCCACGGCCGCCGUGGCAACAGCGCCUCGACUUUCCCCGAUUUACUGACGGUGAUGAUAUCCUUGCUUGGAUUUACAAAGCCAAACAGUUCUUCUCCUUCUAUGGGAUCCCAGAUGCUCAACGUGUUCUCACAGCCUCCUUCCAUUUUGAAGGUGAGCUUCUUCACUGGUUCUGUUGGAUGGAUUGCAUCAACACCACCCCUACUUGGCCAGCGUUUACCAAAGCCCUUUGUCGCGAGUUUGGACCCUCUGCUUUCGACGAUAGUGCCGAGGCUCUCUUCAAACUUCGCUAGCUCGGUACUCUUCGUGAUUAUAUCGCUGAAUUUCGCCGUUUAGCUACUCGUUCACCUGAGAUUAGCCCUCUUCUGUUACGCAGUUGCUUUUUAGGGGGGUUGAAAAAGGAACUUCGAUAUGAUGUCAAGUUGUUACAACCGGCAAAUGUCCAUGAGGCGAUUGCCAUUGCGGUGCAGCUUGAUGCCAAGCUUACGGAGCUCAAAUUGAUUCCAUCUCGAAACCAUACAGCUUCUAAACCAUUUUCAACCAUUGUUCCACCUUCCUCCCAUACUGUGCCACACACUAGCAACCUUGCUAUUAAGAAGCUAACCCCGGAGGAGAUCCAGAGGAAGAGAGCGCGAGGAGAAUGCUGGUUUUGCCCUGAUAAAUGGGUAAUUGGUCAUAAGUGUGGUCUUAAGCAACUAUUGAUGAUGGAUGUGAUGGAUUCUGAAGUUGUGGAAGACAAUAUAGAGGUCGAUCACCCUGAGUUGCAGCACAUGGAGCUUAGUGAAUGUGCUUUUUAUGGCACUGAUGGAGGCUCUCCAAAACACACUAUGAAAGUGCUUGGUCAGAUUAAUGGUCACCCUGUGAGAAUUUUACUUGACUCAGGUAGUUCACACAAUUUUGUUGAUUCCAAAUUGCUUAAACGAUGGGGAUGGCAAGCAGAAACUACCAAGGCUUUUCAGGUCAUGAUAGCCGAUGGAGGCAAAGUUACAAGCUCUGGUUGUUGCAAGGCUGUGGAAUUGUCUCUUGCAGGGUAUCAUUGUCUUACAGAUCUGUAUUCCUUGUCUCUAGGGGGUUGUGAUGUAGUUUUAGGGGUGCAAUGGCUCUCCACCGUGAGCCCUGUGUUAUGGGAUUUCCAACUACUUACUAUGAAGUUCACUAAGGACCACCAAACCUAUAAGUUGUCCCAUUAUUCUUCAGAUGUCUCAAUCAUUCAAGAAGUCUCGCUGCACCAAUUAGAUAAGGAGCUAGUUAACUCUAACUUGGGGUUACUUUUGUAUUCCAUGGAAGAAGAGACACUAGAAUCCUGUGACCUAAAUCCAGUACAGUUGCAGGAGCUGCCGCAACUCUUGUGUAAGUUUGAGGCACUCUUUGUCUUGCCUACCAAACUUCCCCCACCGAGAGACCAUGAUCACCAUAUUCCUUUGGUGCAAGGUGCCAAACCCCCAAACAUCCGACCAUACCACUAUGGUCCAUUGCAAAAAACGGAAAUAGAAAAGGCAGUUCAGGAGCUGCUAGAGGCAGGUUUCAUAAGGCCAAGCCACAGUCCUUUUUCUUUCCCUGUGUUACUUGUCAAAAAGAAAGAAGGUACUUGGCGUAUGUGCAUUGACUAUUGAGAGCUCAAUGCCCUUACUAUUAAGGAUAAAUAUCCCAUACCCCUUAUUGAUGAUCUGUUGGAUGAGUUGCAGGGCUCUCUCUAUUUCUCUAAGCUAGACUUACGAUCUGGAUAUCAUCAGAUCUUAAUGCAACCUGGGGACAUUGCCAAAAUUGCAUUUAGGACUCAUGAAGGACACUAUGAGUUCCUAGUUAUGCCUUUUGGGCUUACAAACGCUCCUGCCACAUUUCAAGGUUUAAUGAAUGCUUUAUUCAAGCCCCAUUUGAGAAAAUGUGUGUUAGUCUUCUUUGAUGACAUUCUUGUUUAUAGUCGGACCUGGGAAUCCCAUUUAGCCCAUUUGCAGAUGGUAUUUGAGAUAUUACAGGCCAAUCAACUCUUCCUCAAGAAAUCUAAAUACUCCUUUGGACAAAAUAGAGUUGAGUACUUGGGUCAUAUUGUCUCUAAGGAAGGAGUAGCACCUGAUCCUCGAAAAAUUGAAGCUAUACAAAGUGGGCCUGCACCAAGAAACGUCAAGGAACUCAGGGGGUUCCUUGGUUUAACAGGCUACUAUAGAAAAUUCGUACCAGGCUUUGGCAAGAUUUGCCAGCCCUUAUACCACUUGACAAGGAAUGAUGGAUUUCAGUGGGAUGUAGAAGCUCAACAAGCUUUUGACAAGCUUAAAACAGCUAUGGUUUCUCCACAGGUGUUGGCACUACCCGAUUUUUCCAAGCCUUUUGAAUUAGAGUGUGAUGCCUCAGGCUGUGGUAUUGGAGCUGUACUACAACAAGAAGGACGACCUAUUGCUUUUUCAAGCCAGUCACUAGGUCCAAGGAAUCAAGCACUUUCCACUUAUGAAAGAGAACUAAUUGCAGUGGUUUAUGCAGUACGGAAGUGGCAGAAUUAUCUCCAAGGACGACAUUUCAUAAUUAAGACUGAUCAUAACAGUCUUAAAUAUUUUCUACACCAACGAGCUCAUACUGCAUUCCAACAGAAAUGGGUAUCUAAAUUGUUGGGGUAUGAUUAUGAGAUACAGUUCAAAAAUGGCUCCCAAAAUGCAGCAGCCGAUGCCUUAUCCAGGCUACAUGGGGUGCCUAGGCUACAAGAAUCGUUGGAGUCAACGGGAGCAUGCUAUGCCAUUUCUUACCCAUACCAUGGAUGGAUUGACGAACUAAGAAGAAGCACUGAACAAGAUGAGUGGAUCCAAACAAAGAAAAAAAAAGUUCUUGACUCCGCACUCAAUGGCACAAGUGAUUCUUCUUUGGGAAAGUACACUAUUGACAACGGAUUUUUGCUUUACAAGCACAGAGUGGUGUUGAGUCCUCAUUCAGAAUGGAAAAGGAAAAUUUUAGCAGAAUACCAUUGUACACCUUCUGCUGGUCACCAAGGAGUACUUAAAACAUACCAAAGAGCCAAGAGAGGCUUCUAUUGGCAGGGAAUAAAGAGAGAUAUCAAGACUUAUGUGGCGGAAUGUCAAGUGUGCCAACAAAACAAAGUGGAAACCAUUUCUCCACCAGGGUUGCUGCAGCCUUUGCCUAUUCCCCAACGAGUCUGGACAGACAUCAACAUGGAUUUCAUAGGAGGACUGCCUUUAUGCAAAGGAAAAUCUGUGAUAUUAGUGGUGGUUGACAGGCUGUCCAAGAGUGUUCACUUCAUAGCAAUGUCCCACCCAUACACGGCAAUCACAGUGGCUCAGGCCUUUAUUGACAAUGUGCUGAAACUUCAUGGCAUACCAAGGUCAGUGGUCAGUGAUCGAGACCCUAUUUUUGUCAGUGCUUUUUGGCGGGAAUUGUUCAAAUUACAAGGAUCCAAAUUGUGCAUGAGCUCUGGUUACCAUCCACAAACUGAUGGGCAGACCGAAGUGAUGAACCGGUGUCUUGAGACCUAUUUGAGGUGUUUUGUGGGAGGUCAACCAAAGAAGUGGGUACAAUGGCUUCCCUGGGCCGAGUGGUGCUUUAACACUUCCUACCAUUCAUCUGCAAAAUUCACACCUUUCGAACUUGUCUAUGGCUAUCCUCCUCCCCAAGUUAUACCCUAUGAAUUCGGUACUGCAAGAGUGGAAACUGUGGGACAGAGUUUAAUGGAAAGGGAUAAGGUCUUAUCCAUGCUUAAACACAAUCUGGAAAUGGCUCAGAAUCGCAUGAAAAUGCAGCAAGAUAAGAAAAGAACGGAGAGGCAAUUCGAAGUUGGGGAUUUUGUGUAUCUAAAACUGAUUCCUUAUCAAUUGCAGACCCUAUCUCCUCACAGCUACCAUAAGCUUCUGCCACGAUACUAUGGUCCUUAUGAGAUUUGUGAAAAGGUUGGGUAUGUGGCCUACAAACUGAACCUACCACCAAACACAAAAAUCCACCCUGUGUUCCCUGUGAGUCAAUUGAAGAAACACCUGGGAACUAGAGCAACAACACAGACUGUCCUGCCACAGGUUGUUGAAGAUGGGUUGGUAGGGAAUGUCCCUGUUGCAGUGUUGGCAAGAAGAAUCUAUAAGAAAGGAGAUGUUGCUGGAGUUCAAUUACUAGUACAGUGGCAAAAGCAAGAGGAAUCAGAGGCGACCUGGGAGGAUUUUGAUGAGUUCAAAGCCAAAUACCCCUCAUUUCCUCUCUGAAACCUUGUGGACAAGGUUCUCUAAAGGGAAGGUAUUGUUAUGAACUAAUCGUGAUUGUCUUAGUCACAGUGAGAUUUUAGUAAGGGUAGUAAGGACUAAAGUGUAAGGUAGUUAAAGGCAUAAUUGUAAGGGGUUAAAAGUAUGGGGUUCGAUUAUAAUGGGCCAAUACUUAGUAGAAGGUUUCAGUAAUUGUCAGUCAUUGUCCAGGUGGCACUUUUGUAUUGGGGAAUUGCAGGCAUGUGGGAUAUACAUGCUCCCGAAAUUAUUGUAAUGGCAACUUUUGGAAAAAUCAGUUUAUAUUUCUCUUUUGGUUCUCUCUCUAUUCUAUCACUCUCUCUCACUUUCAUAGCUACCGGUUCUGGUUGAUUCUCCGGUGCCGGUUGGGUUCCUAACACAAUUUGGCUUCCUGCUUUUCAAUGGUGAGGGUCCAGGUGUUGGGCUUUGCGGAAGAAACACAGUCACUGCCAUGGAGGGGAGGGAAAGAUAGGGAAUGGAGGGGAGAGAGAGUAGGAGAGGAAGAAGACGGCUUGCCUGAAGGAGGUUUCACAUGUGAAUUAUUUUUUCUUUUUCUUUUUUAAUUGAGAUUAUGAUUUUAUUAGGGUG